AAAAAAAAAAAAAAUGUUACAGUGGAAUUAGAUUCGGCAAGAAAUACCGAUGCUUAUAAAAUGGCAACAUAAGAUCUUAUACUUUGAUAUACAGAAUUUAAAAAACGAUUUGUAUUCAUUACUUCAUCAUUAGCAGCUUCUUAAGACCCUAUCCUAAUCACCAACCAAUGCUUGCAUCCUAAUAUAGGUAUGAAUGUUUCUAGGGAAUAAAAAUAUUAUAUAGCAUUUGAGACUCUGUAAGCAUCUCAGGUGAUCUGCUUUUCAACUUUACAAUAUAGCAGAGGGAUCAUUCCAAACCCUAUGAUGCUUUUCAUAGCUCAAAAUGAAAUUUCUUAUUAACUUAGUGGUGGAUUUGAUUGAUCAUUGAACUUGCAUACGCUUCAACUUAUUCUUGUCUCAAAUGUUGGAUCAAAUAUAUGAAGACAACAAUAAGCAUUUAAACUACAAUUAGGUUGAAUCGUCAAUGAUACGGAGAUAUGGAGAAAUUUUAGUUGGACAUUUUGUUGUGUAAUCUUAUAUUGCUAGCAUUCGACACUGUAAAUUUAUGUAUGAAACCAAAUACUUGGGACUUGCAUUGUGAAGCAAUUAUCAUGAAUUUUGAAAAGGGAAAAUUCAUCAUAUAAAAUGCAUGCUAUCAUUAAGUUUAUUCACCUCAGCAGCAAAGCCCAAAUGGAGAUGCAUGAAUGAUUCACACUGUGGCGUUGUGUUAAUCCUGUCAACAUAUGACUUCGGAAGAACUUCUCUGGGUAAGAGAUUUAAAGUAUCCCACAUAGAUGCGUUGCUGAUGACAGCCUUUCUAGCACGUAUAAA
RNAcentral lists this unclassified non-coding RNA (810 nucleotides) under Hevea brasiliensis (rubber tree). The record is from RNAcentral. Lineage: Eukaryota; Viridiplantae; Streptophyta; Magnoliopsida; Malpighiales; Euphorbiaceae.